RNAcentral lists this long non-coding RNA (410 nucleotides) under Ananas comosus (pineapple). RNAcentral describes it as "long non-coding RNA (ACOM_LNC024626)". The record is from RNAcentral. Lineage: Eukaryota; Viridiplantae; Streptophyta; Magnoliopsida; Poales; Bromeliaceae.
CGGCACAAAGAUCGCAGCGGAAAAUAAAAUUGUAUUUUCGAAAAACAAAAAUCCAUAUCACAUAUGAACCAAAAUAAAACAAAUUAUUCCAGUGCCGGUGGAUCAUUCUCAUGUUGCAAUGUAAAAUAAAAUCUAACCUAAACAGAUUUAAAGUUCAGGUUACAUUACCUCGGACCAGUUAAGGUCUCUUGAUCUACUGUACGGUUGAAAUUGAGAUUCCGAUUAGCCGCGCACGUGCCCGACCUCUACGUGUAUCCACACGGAAUUAAUCCAGAUCCAAUGCCUUCCGUCGCACGGAACUGAUGAGCCGCAGAUUACCAAGACGAUACUAGCAGUCUUGCAAUAUCCACGUUCCCUUUUGUGAGAUGUACUGAUUUUUCAAAAGAUCUAAUAGAGACGGAUAAUUAUAU